Molecule: long non-coding RNA, 516 nt
Filed under: Gopherus agassizii (Agassiz's desert tortoise)
Lineage: Eukaryota; Metazoa; Chordata; Testudines; Testudinidae
Description: lncRNA (ENSGAGG00000015540.1)
Source: RNAcentral
AAAAAACUGAAUGGAAGGCAGGGAUAAACCCUCCUUUUUAUAACAAAUUAAUGAAAAAAUUAUAAAAUGUUUUAUAAAAAUAAAUGGUUAAAUAUUUUUAUUUUUAUAGGUGGGAAUGGAAGAAGAGCCUAUAUAUGAGGACAUGGCAACCAAGGAACCAUCACAAAAUAGCGAUGUUGAAAACCAGCCGAUAGACCCCGAGUCAUGGAAAGAUGGCGAUAUUGUUAUGAUAACCAAGCCGGGGCCGUACAAGAUUACUGCUUUGGUGUGUGACAAAUGGCCAACAGUUGCAAAAACAGAAGCACACGAGGAGGUUGCUGAAACUAUGAUCGACGGAGCCCUUGCCAGUGGUGGUUCAGAAACAAAGGACACAAACAGGGUGUGCAGCGAGCGGGUGUCAAUGGUAAAACCCAAAGAACAUGGAAGGGGCUACGGUGCCCGAAGGUGCAUCAACUGAGGAUGAUAAUAAUGAUUCAGAAUCAGACAAGGGUACGAUUGAGGUAGCACAAAUAAACU